RNAcentral lists this ribosomal RNA (477 nucleotides) under uncultured anaerobic ammonium-oxidizing bacterium. RNAcentral describes it as "bacterial SSU rRNA". It matches the Rfam family "Bacterial small subunit ribosomal RNA", at positions 365 to 832 of the family's 1533-position model. The record is from RNAcentral.
UUCGCAAUGCCCGAAAGGGUGACGAAGCGACGCCGCGUGCGGGAAGAAGGCCUUCGGGUUGUAAACCGCUGUCGGGAGUUAGGAAAUGCAAGGAUGUUAAUAGCGUCUUUGCUUGACUAAGGCUCCGGAGGAAGCCACGGCUAACUCUGUGCCAGCAGCCGCGGUAAUACAGAGGCGGCAAGCGUUGUUCGGAAUUAUUGGGCGUAAAGAGCACGUAGGCGGCUGUGUAAGUCGGUUGUGAAAGCCUUCCGCUCAACGGGAGAACGGCAUCCGAUACUGCAUGGCUCGAGUGCGGGAGGGGAGAGUGGAACUUCUGGUGGAGCGGUGGAAUGCGUAGAUAUCAGAAGGAACACCGGCGGCGAAGGCGACUCUCUGGCCCGUAACUGACGCUGAGUGUGCGAAAGCUAGGGGAGCAAACGGGAUUAGAUACCCCGGUAGUCCUAGCCGUAAACGAUGGGCACUAAGUAGAGGGGUUUU